CUUUCGGUUUGAAGAAUGUUUUUAGUAGGAAGUGCGUUUUACAUAAACCAUUUACAAUCGUGAUACUGUUGCUGUUGUUGGUGACAAAGGGAAGAACAGAAGUCGACGAUUGCUACCAAUAUUAUUAUACCUAUGAUUGUGAAAAUAACGAACUUGUUGAAUCAAUAGUCGGAGGAGUAAUUGGAGGUCAUUUUGCACUCGGUAUAUUGAUAUUUUUCAUAUGUGUAUGCUAUCAUAAAAGCAAAGCACGACCAGGACGCGUGGUAAAUGCAACAGCUGUUCCAACUGUUACACAAACUCAGUUUGGUGGAACCUAUGGUAAUAACUUUUCAAACCACACUACCACCCAGUUUGGAACUCAGUUUACAUAUGGUCAACAGCAACAGCAACAGUCUGAUCCGUAUCAGCAACAGUCUCAGCUCAAUCCGUAUGCUCCACCACCAGCAUUUAGUUACUAGUAUAACAAGUUGUAUAUUGCUUCGGUGUGAGAGAGAUGUAACAUAGUCUCAGUACUAAAACAAACUAUGUGUAUUGACCUAAAGUAAUCAAAUAAUUCGUAAAAUAUGUCGCCGCUCUGAGUCUGUCAAUUUCAAAGUUGAUCAUGACAUUGUUAAAGAACGAAAUACUAAACCAGAUCGUUCAUCAUGAUCAUUAUCAUCAUCAUCAUAGAAUAGUCAGGUUAUAUCAAACUGUAAUAUCUGUGUGUUACAAAACCAAUUAGCAAAUACUCAAAUGUGCGAAAUUAUAUGAAUUUCUAUGCCUUUGUUUGUUCUAUAUAUGUUUUGCAAUGCGAGCACAUACACAAACUUUUUUUGUCAUUUUUGUUGGUGUAAACUACAAACAAAAUGUGUUGGUGUUUUUAUCAAAUUGACUAUCAAUUACAAAAAUAUUUUUAUUUGCGUCUUUUCAUAUUUUAUUUAUUUUGUAUGAUUGUUGAAUCUUUACGUCAAUUUUAUUGUACGGCCAAUAUCAAGGAACUAUAAAACAUCUGUCAUACAAGACUUAGUGGAAGAUUUAGCUAUCUAUGAAAACCAAACUUAAUCAACCAUUUUCAGGGAAUUGUAUGUACCAAGUAAGGAAUAUGACAGCUGUUU
Long non-coding RNA from Mytilus trossulus (common blue mussel), 1094 nucleotides. RefSeq lists it as uncharacterized. The transcript has 4 exons. Lineage: Eukaryota; Metazoa; Mollusca; Bivalvia; Mytilida; Mytilidae. The record is from RefSeq and is a predicted model, not a curated record.